UACGGGGGGGGCAAGCGUUGUUCGGAAUUACUGGGCGUAAAGGGCGCGUAGGCGGUUGGAUAAGUCAGCUGGGAAAACCACGGGCUUAACUCGUGGCCUGCAGUUGAGACUGUCUGGCUUGAGUGUGGGAGAGGAGAGUGGAAUUCCUGGUGUAGCGGUGAAAUGCGUAGAUAUCAGGAGGAACACCGGUGGCGAAGGCGGCUCUCUGGACCACAACUGACGCUGAGGCGCGAAAGCUAGGGGAGCAAACCGG
This 253-nucleotide ribosomal RNA is filed under the name uncultured bacterium. Its description in RNAcentral is "partial 16S ribosomal RNA". It matches the Rfam family "Bacterial small subunit ribosomal RNA", at positions 524 to 776 of the family's 1533-position model. The record is from RNAcentral.